GAUGAACGCUGGCGGCGUGCCUAAUACAUGCAAGUAGAACGCUGAAGGAAGGAGCUUGCUCUUUCCGGAUGAGUUGCGAACGGGUGAGUAACGCGUAGGUAACCUGCCUGGUAGCGGGGGAUAACUAUUGGAAACGAUAGCUAAUACCGCAUAACAGUAGAUGUUGCAUGAUAUCUACUUAAAAGGUGCAAUUGCACCACUACCAGAUGGACCUGCGUUGUAUUAGCUAGUUGGUGAGGUAACGGCUCACCAAGGCGACGAUACAUAGCCGACCUGAGAGGGUGAUCGGCCACACUGGGACUGAGACACGGCCCAGACUCCUACGGGAGGCAGCAGUAGGGAAUCUUCGGCAAUGGACGGAAGUCUGACCGAGCAACGCCGCGUGAGUGAGGAAGGUUUUCGGAUCGUAAAGCUCUGUUGUAAGAGAAGAACGAGUGUGAGAGUGGAAAGUUCACACUGUGACGGUAUCUUACCAGAAAGGGACGGCUGACUACGUG
RNAcentral lists this ribosomal RNA (497 nucleotides) under uncultured bacterium. Its description in RNAcentral is "partial 16S ribosomal RNA". It matches the Rfam family "Bacterial small subunit ribosomal RNA", at positions 28 to 507 of the family's 1533-position model. The record is from RNAcentral.